UGGGGAAUAUUGCACAAUGGGCGAAAGCCUGAUGCAGCAACGCCGCGUGAGUGAUGAAGGUCUUCGGAUUGUAAAGCUCUGUCUUUUGGGACGAUAAUGACGGUACCAAAGGAGGAAGCCACGGCUAACUACGUGCCAGCAGCCGCGGUAAUACGUAGGUGGCGAGCGUUGUCCGGAUUUACUGGGCGUAAAGGGUGCGUAGGCGGAUGUUUAAGUGAGAUGUGAAAUACCCGGGCUUAACUUGGGUGCUGCAUUUCAAACUGGAUAUCUAGAGUGCAGGAGAGGAGAAUGGAAUUCCUAGUGUAGCGGUGAAAUGCGUAGAGAUUAGGAAGAACACCAGUGGCGAAGGCGAUUCUCUGGACUGUAACUGACGCUGAGGCACGAAAGCGUGGGUAGCAAACAGGAUUAGAUACCCUGGUAGUCCACGCCGUAAACGAUGAGUACUAGGUGUAGGAGGUAUCGACCCCUUCUGUGCCGCAGUAAAACACAUUAAGUACUCCGCCUGGGAAGUACGAUCGCAAGAUUAAAAC
RNAcentral lists this ribosomal RNA (530 nucleotides) under uncultured bacterium. Its description in RNAcentral is "partial 16S ribosomal RNA". It matches the Rfam family "Bacterial small subunit ribosomal RNA", at positions 355 to 900 of the family's 1533-position model. The record is from RNAcentral.